GGUAGCAGUUGGUAGUUUCCAGCCACAGAUUCGAAUUGGCCAGGGUCAAAAUCUGUCAUUAGAGAUAAAACCUUGAAGUGAAGGCAGUUUUGAUGUUUGAAAUAUUUGUUGAUGUGAGUUUGUGAUUAACAAGUUUAAGAAUGGUAUGUUGCAGAAAUUCUGGCAGAUGCGAAUGUAAGCUUGAUGGCAUCAUUUUCAUAUAACUGCUUGAAAUGCAUAUAUGCCACUAUCAGCAUUGAGCGUCUGGUGAACUGUCAAAUGUCAUAUAGGCCUCACACAGUUGAAAAUAGUGAAAAAAGUAAUCGGUUGACAGGUCUGCAUCUCGUAAGAUAUCGGAAGCCGUCUGACUUGGCCACAUCGCUCGGAAGUCUGAAGUACUAGAAAAAACCGCCAUCUGCUACCUUAAGACAUUUGUCAAUUUUGUCUGCAUCUCGUAAGAUAUCGGAAGCCGUCUGACUUGGCCACAUCGCUCGGAAGUCUGAAGUACUAGAAAAAACCGCCAUCUGCUACCUUACCUGUAGAGAACUGAGUAGUUCCGGUAAAGAAUCCAGGGACACUUGUUAGGUUAACUGCUCAAUAUUACAUGACUGAAUUUCUGUUGCAAAGCGGUGCUAAACCAAAAGUAACAAACAAAAGAAAAUAUGCAGGUAUUAAAGUAACCACCUUAGAUUUAAAACUUUUACCAGGCUGACAAAACUGAUUAAGUGAUACCAAAUCAAGAUAUCUGAAAUAUAUAAAACUUUAUUCUUGCAUAAAAACUACUUUUUUCUCUGGAUCCGCCCAUGUAUUAACGGGAGAAAAAUCGUGUGCAAACAAGGCAAUUCACGUGCUGUUAAUACAUGAUUUUUAUUUUUGAAAUGCUUUGCCAGGGAUAUAUGUAUGUAUUUUUGCGCACACUGAUAUUUGACAUCUGCGUCUUGUUUCAUCCUUAACAACCUAUUCUUGUAGCAUUAUAGAUACAAUGUAAUCCAUAUUAUGUUUAGCUGUAUCUGUUUCCAACCCCAAACGUACUGCCCCCAUCAAUGUACGCACUAGCUUCUCUUAGAGUUCACUCCCUUUACAAAGCAUCUGUUCAGUUAUUGUAAAUAACUGUGAAUAAAUAAGUAUCGCGUGUAACUUGUGCUAUUGUUCGUUUUUAGGUAUUAUAUUUAUGAUUUUGUUAAGUAUCAGUCGGUAUGUUUUUAUCUAAUUUCUCGAAGAAUUUAUAUAAACAGCUUGGAAACUUGAUACUACGUUCGUACUCAUCCGUACUCCAACUGCGUGUCCGUACUCAAUAUAACUCGAAUGCAAAGUUAUUAUUCUUGAAAUUGUGAUCGAGUCCACCAAAUUGUGAAAUGAUAUGAACAAUUAUUGGUAAUUUUAUGUUUGUAAUAAUGAGAGAUAAAAAAUCGCUUAAAAACCUUCAGGAUGUGCUUUUGAUAGUGUUGUUUAUUUCCGGGCCCUGGA
This is a long non-coding RNA of Mercenaria mercenaria, 1446 nucleotides long. RefSeq lists it as uncharacterized. NCBI's taxonomy places the organism in Eukaryota, Metazoa, Mollusca, Bivalvia, Venerida, Veneridae. The transcript has 3 exons. The record is from RefSeq and is a predicted model, not a curated record.